RNAcentral lists this transfer RNA (77 nucleotides) under Hyphomicrobiaceae bacterium. RNAcentral describes it as "tRNA-Pro". It matches the Rfam family "tRNA". Rfam says of the family: Transfer RNA (tRNA) molecules are approximately 80 nucleotides in length. The record is from RNAcentral. Lineage: Bacteria; Pseudomonadati; Pseudomonadota; Alphaproteobacteria; Hyphomicrobiales; Hyphomicrobiaceae. RNAcentral also lists the same sequence under 1 other name.
CGGAGCGUAGCGCAGCCUGGUAGCGCACCUGCUUCGGGAGCAGGGGGUCGCGAGUUCGAAUCUCGCCGCUCCGACCA